This 446-nucleotide ribosomal RNA is filed under the name uncultured bacterium. RNAcentral's name for it is "bacterial SSU rRNA". It matches the Rfam family "Bacterial small subunit ribosomal RNA", at positions 331 to 794 of the family's 1533-position model. The record is from RNAcentral.
CCAGACUCCUACGGGAGGCAGCAGUGGGGAAUAUUGCACAAUGGGGGAAACCCUGAUGCAGCGACGCCGCGUGAGCGAUGAAGUAUUUCGGUAUGUAAAGCUCUAUCAGCAGGGAAGAAAAUGACGGUACCUGACUAAGAAGCCCCGGCUAACUACGUGCCAGCAGCCGCGGUAAUACGUAGGGGGCAAGCGUUAUCCGGAUUUACUGGGUGUAAAGGGGGCGUAGACGGUCCUGCAAGCCAGAAGUGAAAGCCCGGGGCUCAACCCCGGGACUGCAUUUGGAACUGUAAGGCUAGAGCGUCGGAGAGGCAGGCGGAAUUCCUGGUGUAGCGGUGAGAUGCGUAGAUAUUAGGAGGAACACCAGUGGCGAAGGCGGCCUGCUGGGCGAUGACUGACGUUGAGGCUCGAAAGCGUGGGGAGCAAACAGGAUUAGAUACCCGAGUAUU